This 206-nucleotide ribosomal RNA is filed under the name uncultured bacterium. Its description in RNAcentral is "partial 16S ribosomal RNA". It matches the Rfam family "Bacterial small subunit ribosomal RNA", at positions 1287 to 1500 of the family's 1533-position model. The record is from RNAcentral.
CUCAGUUCGGAUCGGAGUCUGCAACUCGACUCCGUGAAGCUGGAUUCGCUAGUAAUCGCGCAUCAGCCAUGGCGCGGUGAAUACGUUCCCGGGCCUUGUACACACCGCCCGUCAAGCCAUGGGAGCCGGGGGUACCUGAAGUCCGUAACCGCGAGGAUCGGCCUAGGGUAAAACUGGUGACUGGGGCUAAGUCGUAACAAGGUAGC